Non-coding RNA from Callithrix jacchus (white-tufted-ear marmoset), 11926 nucleotides. The record is from RefSeq and is a predicted model, not a curated record. NCBI's taxonomy places the organism in Eukaryota, Metazoa, Chordata, Mammalia, Primates, Cebidae.
UCUCCAUCUCAAAUAAGGGAUCUUCUUGGGACAAGGACUGAAUGAGGGUGGGAGAGAGUAUGAGUCUCACGGCACCCAGGAGGGAGAAAUUGUGUUUCUGAGAAGGUGUCUUUUGGCCUCUUGAAAAUGUGCAAGAAUUCCGCGGGCCCAGGCUUUCUUUGUGUGGCGGGCAGCGCCAAGCGCUUUGUGCUUCACAAGGAGAAAAUGGCGAGUCCUAUUGUGUUUAGGCCAUUUUCUUCCGGCACAAGGAUUUUCCUAAGUUCGAAAUACUUCUUCAGAAAGUAGCCUUCUCGUGCCCAGGAAGGUGAGAAUCGCUGAGGCUAGGCCCCAUGGCCUGGCGUGGGUGCCAACCUCAGUUUAAAAGCAAGGGCCUGUUUUCUUACCGUUGGGGUACUUAUAUCAAAGCACAGAUAUGCCCGGUGUGUGCGGAUCAGUGUCCUCCAAAGAUCAGCAGCGGCUCUUUGGGGUUUGGGAAAAUAAGUGUCUAUUUAUAUAUGCAUAUAUACAUACAUAUACGUAACAGUUGUUUCUGAUAAUCUGAAGGAGAAAAUAAAAAAUGAAAGACAAUUACGUUUUUGAAAGAGGGAAUAGUUCUUUUCCUUUCUCCUUUCUCCCCCUCGAGGAAACCCCAGGAGAUAUUAAAUGUUACUCUGCUCAGUCAGUCUUUUGUUUUCUAAACUGAAGAUGGGAUGCUAUUUUGGAUGGAAGAAUUAUUCUGCAUCUUAGUCACUGGAACAUAUGCUUUGCUAGAAAAGAAGUGUAAGGUGUUAGAGGUGGAUUUAGUUUAAUGCUCUUAGUGUGUGUGUGUGUGUGUGUGUGUGUGUGAGAGAGAGAGAGAGAGAGAGAGAGAUCUAUGUGCCUCUAUAUAGUGAUGUAAAUAUGAAGAGGGAGAUGAUUGAAAACAUUGUCUGGCUUUUGCCCCUUAAUUUGUCAUUUUUGCAAUUGUUCUGCACUUGUUAAACCAUAUGUAAAAGUGGACAAGGAUACCUAUACAAGAAUGUCUGUCACUUUUGAAAACCCCCAGAACUUAUUGAAAGAUACUUUGAAAAGAUAUUAUUUUUGGUUGAAAGAUAUUAUUUCCUAAUUACUACAAUUAUUUGGAUCUUUAAAUAAUUUUUAAACCACCAAAUGUGGUGGUUUUGCCAGCUCAAAAACAAUGAAAUGCAAAGUUCCCCUAUGUGCUUCCUGUGCAUUCAUUUUGGUGGCAAAUAUAGAAAACUAAAAACAACUGGGAUAGGGAAGUUAACUUAAAGCCUAUAGCUUUUCCCCCCUUUUGAUGUCAUUUUAAAAUGUUAGGGAGUCACAUUUGUGCAGAGGCGUUGUGACUUUCAUUUUUCAAAAGGUAACACUAGCGUAGCCUUUCAUGUGGAUCAAGACCAUGGACAGCGAACUAAUAUUAAAUCACUGAGCAAAAAGGACUCUAGUAAAAUUUUGAGACCUAAGUGGAAGUUUACAUUCAAAACAUGUUGGAAGUCAAAAACAAUCUUUAUGAUUUUUAAAAGGAAUUCAACUGGUAAAAUGUGGCAUUUCAAAGUUAGUCUACCAAGUUUCAAAGAAACAAUAAUCGUAUGUUCAGUUUUUACCCUGUCUCAAAGAGAAAAAGUAUAUAUUCUUUAUCCAAUUAAAAUAAGAUAACGCCCACCUUUUGGUACUGGUAAAUAUAAAAUUUAAAUCUAUCAGUUUUAGAUGUAGAAUGUUUUAUAUAAGACCUUGAAACAGUAUGGGGAUAGGGAAAUUUUACUAUUUCAGGUUGGCAUUGGCUGAAUGACACUACAGAAAAUUAAAUUGAUUUUUAUCAGUGACUGAAUUUCUAAAUGCAUAAAAUUGGGAAAAUUAAAUGCCACUUUGAUAGACAGGGAUAGUAUGAAUGGAGAUAUAAUCCAGCUAUUCCUUUUACUCCUGGGUAGGCAUUGUACCCUAUAAUAUGCAAUGUGGGCAAGCACUUUUUUUCCAAGAAAGUCACAGGUUUUUUCAUAUAUACUGAUUAUAUUUGGGGCACAGGAUUGGUUCAAUGUGGUUCUAUGAUGGAGAUCAGGUUAUUUUGUUUUGUACAUUGUUUGAAUAGCCUUUACUUCUUUACAGAAUUAAAAUUCAUUUAAAACCAUUUCAUUUGUGGAUUACAUAAUAUUGAAAAUUGCUCAUUUAAAUUUCCAGUUUGAUGUAUCUUUUGGCUUAUUUCAUAACCUGACUUUAGUGUGACCUGUAAAGGCCUGGAAAAUCAUAUAAAGCAAAAACAAUAUACAAGUUAGAGGAAUUAAAAUAGCUUAUAAUUAAAAUUAAGUUAAAAUUACAUUAAUUUAAAAGGACCUUGGAGUUUAUAAAGAUUAAAUUUUGAUCUUUAUUCGUCAGAUUCGGCUAUAAAAUGAAACUGCAGUUCUUUGAAUGCGCAUGUUGCUGGAAUUAGAUGCUAUGUAUAUUUUGAAGACACACACAUUUUAUUUUUAGACAACGUAUUCAAAGUACUUGAGAAGAAUAUGCAAUGACAUUUUCCCCUGUCCUAAUCAGGACCAUGGUGAGGUCCCCGUGGUUCACCAAGUGGUGGGCCAGGGCUCUGGUUGGGACGCUGAUUUAGGUUGGCAAAGAGUCAUUGUUUUGAAAGGCGUAUUGGUCCAGGAAGGCAUUCGUGAUAAGAUUAAGCAUAAACCUAAACCUUGGCCUGGGGGGAAGGAAGCCUGCGGGGUUGAGAAGAGGAGAUGCAGAUUAGCUCUGCUUUUGCUGCUUGCGCACAUAAUUAAGAGGCGGUCCCUCAGCUGGAGCGUGGGCUCUGUCCGGCCUAAAGUGCUUAUUUUCCUGUUACUUGGCCAACCGAGUGUGAGUGAAAAGGAGCCCGAGAGCUUAAAUGCGGGAUCUAGAUGUUUCGACUGGUUUGUGGGCGCUUGUCUCCAUGUUAGGGAGAGGCAACUGAGAACGGUGACUUUGGCUUGUUUUGAGGGAGCCUGUAUUUUGACAGCAAGACGGCUAGGGGAGCCUUUGGAGAGGCUGGAAGUUCGACGUCUUAGGGAGCUGCCUGCAGGCACUGCGUUGGCGCCAACGGGUAGUCGGCAAGGGCAGAGCGCUUGCCCUCUGCUGUGCCCAGGCUCUGCAAUUGGGGGCUGCGCGCUUUCUGCGGCUCUUUGGUUUCAAGGACACAGAGAGCUGCUCAGGACUUUGGGAGCCAACAUCUGUCUGACUGGUGACGUCAGCAGCCCGUGUAAUCCUCUUGUGCUGAAGGCAGAUGCCUUAUUUGUUUGGCUGGAGCGAGCCAUUAAUCCCUAAUUCUGGAUCAGCAAGCGAGGGGGAAAGACCGGACUGCUCCAACCCACCCCUUCCCUACCCCCACCUCCCACCUUAAAGCACCUUAUACCACGGAAGCCUCUCAGCCUCCUCUUUCCUCCGCGAACGCGCUGAGCAGCGAUUGAAAACGUUUUGGUCCUCUGCAGGUUUGAGCAGGGCUAGCAGGUCUCUCUCCUCCGGAUUUCUAGGGCUAUGUGUGGGCGCGUUCUGGGGUCUCUGCGCAAGACCAUCUCUCAGCUCUCUCUCCCUUCCUCGGACUCUGGAGUGGGAGCGGGCCUUUCCCUCGGGCGGACCACACCGUAGGGGACGCCGUGAAAAGAGCCGUCGCGCCCGCCACCUCCUGCCCGCUGCGCAGAGGGCUCCGCCCGUAGAGGUCAACUUCCCUCACCCAUUCCUCUUUCCUGCUCGCCCUCCCUCCGCCCGGCCCAGGCGCUUCCAGCCCCCGACUCCAGCCGCAGGCUGAGGAGUGCGAAUCCGCUGCGCUGCCCUGAACCGAAGCCCCUUCCAGACCCGAGGUCCUUGCUCCGGGGCAGUGGGGAAGCCUUAGUGAGCAGCCUUUUCUCUCCGCAGCAAACUCGUAGCCAGACCAGAUGGGCCGCCCAGCUCUCUCGGGACUAGGCAGGUGCGGUUGAGUUAAUUUUUCCGCAUUACAAAGAAAGAUGACCCAGCCUGCCCUUGGACUCUCUUUUCCCAAAAUCUCCCAUCCAAACCCGCGGUAACAUUAUUGGAGGACACAGAGACCAGGCAUAUCUGUGUGUUUAUCACACAUGUUUGUUUUCCCCUUUAUAUGCUAGAUUUCGUCCCCGACAGCAGAAAAUGAUUGGCGAUGGUUCUGACGGAGAACAUGCAAUGGCGUGGUUCUUAAAAGCCUACCAUUCCUUCCUUACAAGUGCCUUAGAAGGGAUUCAGGGCGAACCAACUGGGUUAAUUGCAUUCAGUAAAAUAACACGAUUACAAAAUUAGAUCUGUACCAGAGGGGUAAUUAACUUGGAUCCACGCAGUCAUUUGAAAACUAGAUUUAUAGGCAUAUGUAUGUUUUUCAGCGUGUGCUGUAAAUGGCAUGGAGAUAUAUGCAUAUGUAUACGCAGACACACGCAUCGUCUACACUUCCAUGGAACAGACUAAUUAACAGCGGCUCUGGCAGAUGUGGCAGAGAUGAGCGAAGACACGAGCUGGGCUUAUGAGUUAUGACUCUGGGGUAGAGACUCGGAGCGGAGGGAGGGGGAUGGGCAGGGAGAGAAGUGUGGUAGUCGCAGUGGGUCUGAUACUUUCCGGAUCAAGAUCAGAGGCUCUGCCCUCCGUGUUCACAGCGGACCUUGAUUUAAUGUCAUACAAUUAAGGCACGCGGUGAAUGCCAAGAGCGGAGCCUACGGCUGCACUUGAAGGACACCAAAGCGUCUCAGGGUCAGAAAGGGGAAAAAGCAAUUGCAGGGAAUUUAGAGGGUGGUAGGAUGAACCCAUCCCUUGCCGCAUAAAUGCCCCCCACCCCCACCCUGCACUGAUUCUAGAAGCAACCUGAUUUUCGAAAGUGAAAAUCUCCUACACUUCCGUUAGAGCCGCGGAAAUCCGCAGGCAAAUAUCUGAAGGGGAUUUUAGGGAAGCUGCAUUGACAGCUGUCAGGAGAGCAGUAGUUCCCGUCUGUGCAAAUAUUCUAGAGAGUUAAACCAUUUAGAAAGCACUGGUUCUUUCAAGAGCAGGUAGUGUGAUUGCAGUCCUAGGCCAACCUGGGGAAAAAAAAAACAGAAGAGAGAGGUGUAACAUUAAAUGGCGUCUUGACCACAUUGCGCAAGAAACCUCAAAUGAACGGUCCAAACUUUGAAAAGAUCUGAAGAACACCUGCCGCGCCCAUUUUCCUUUGACUUCCCUUUCUCUUCCCAAUCUCGAGGCGUCCUUGCCUGACUUUAAAACGCCAAGAUAACUCUCUUGUUUUGGCAUUGUCGCAAUGUCCAAGUCGGUCAAAGGAGUGGGACAAGGGGGAAGGACCAGGUCAGAAACUGUAAAAUGACUCGGUAAAUUAAUUUAUUUGAAAGCCAUUGAGGUGGACUAUGUUGAGGUAGUAGUUCUGCACCACGGCUUUGGAGCCGAAGAAAAACAUCCAGGCCGGGAAAGCGAGCCUUGAUGUCUUUGUUCUGCCUUGGCCUGCAGGGGCUGCGAACAAAGGAGAGGCGCUAAGAGGAUGCACCAAAGUGGCCGCGCCCUCCCUGCCGGGCGCUGUCCGCGGUGCUGACCGUGGCCCUCCUCUCCGUAAUUAGACUGGAAAAGCCAUAGGACCCUCCCGUCCCUACUCAAAAGAGUAGGAUAUUAGGUAAUUUGAAAAAUAAAAUUUAAAAGAGAGAAAGUCCACAUUCAGCAAGACAAUAUUUUACUGAAAUCGUUCCCUCCAGCUGUUGCUACCCUUGCCUGAUAUUCUUUGGUCUUCACUUAGAAAUGCACACAAAUAUUCAGUUUACGUAUAUGGGGAAAUCAUUUUCAGUUAUUUAGGCCAUGCAUUGAAAUGACCUGAAUCCUGCCGUGGGCAGAAUUGCAAUAAGGAAACUGAGGAGAAUGAAGGCUUUAUUAUUCUUCUUCUUUCUUAAGUCGUCUUCCUUGAAACAGAAAUGUAAGGUCCUCAGACGCGGAUCUCAGCACAGACUUGGUCACCAAAGGGAUGUGCAAAGGACGAAAGUGUGGGCCUCGAGACUUAAACAGAAAGGGGUGGCCGGAGACCCACCAGGUGAGACAGAGCAGAAGCCCAUGCAGCCUGCCACCUUCAGCCAGGUUUAUAGCUCGGCAGUCUUAGUUAGACGGGUCCAGAGGGCUGAGCUCUGCAGACCGCUCGGGUGCGCAGUAGCCUGCUCGGCGCAUCCCAGCCGGCGGGAGGCACUGGAGGGCCAGGAGGGCCAGGAGGCCUGAAACCCGCACUGCGGAAAACCCGACCGCAGCCGCAUCCUCAUAGAUCCCGCGACGGAAAGAGUCAGGGCGGUUUACUAAAUCCUAUCCAGUGAAAAUUCGCCCUAGGAAUUGAAGGUUGGAUGGGCCAGUAUUGAUAUAUUUUUUAAAAUCUUUACAUUUCUCAACCUAUUUCAUCGUUCUUAGAUAUUGAGAGUAUUAAAUGUAAACAAUACAAAUUUUAAUUCCCUAAGUAAUGAACCAAAAUGGCAAGGGAGAGAGAGACGGGAAAUCAACUAAUUCGUAGCCAGCCUGGCUGGCUAUUUCUCAAAAGAAAUUUCUAUGCAUUUGCUUAGGUUUGCCUAUAAAUUCACAAACGUAAAGGCUGUUAAAAUUAAUAACAGAUUGGACAAUAGAGCAGCAACACCGAUUUUGAUCCAGAUACAAAAAUGGGCCAUGCAUUGAAAUGACCUAAAAGAGAUGUGUUCAUUAAGUUCUUCUUCUCUCUUUCUCUCUCUCUCUCUCUCUUUUCACACGGGACGUAGAUGUAUACUAAGAUUCAAGAAAUAGAACGGCCAAGUGCAAUAUCCUCAGAGAGCUGUCUGCUCACCCCCUGCCUCAGGGCGGAUUUUAUCUGUCUUCGAAUUUUAGAACCCUGCAAGUCAGGUCUUUCACAUUCAUCGAUUACUUUGGUUUAUCUUUAAUUUUAUCCAUUUUGGGAAUGGGUAGGUAAAGCACACUGGAAAAUAGGGGCUGCUGGCAUGACAAAAUUAAAAGGUUGUGAGUAUUCCUCUUGUGCCAAUUAAAGGCAGUUGUUGGAAGCGGAAAUGAGUUUAAAGCAUUACACGUUAUCAUGGCCGGCCUUUCUUUCUAAUAUUCAUCCAAUUGCGCUGUUUUCCUGCAUCCACAACUUGCAUAGUCCACAAAGCACCUAUGGUCCAGGGCUGCAAAAUCGUCCCGCCUGAUUCCAUUAGAAUUCAUACUACCUCGCAGAAGCAAACCUAAUCCCCUCAGCCUAAUCCUACCUGUUUAGGACCAUAUAAACUCGUCCUUCAGAAAUCUUGAUCAGUUUAAAAUUACUUUCGAAGUAGAAGUGAAAUACAUGAUAUGAGAGAGGUUUAAAUACUACUUAAAAAGGGAACACUCAAUUUAGUAAUUCGGUUGCCUAGAUGAAAUCGAGUGGCUAUUGAUCCGUGAUGUUUCUAGAUUUUUAAGACUAUGUACUUUCUAUUUCUCUGGAAAAUAAUCAUCCAGUUUGAUGCCCAUUACAAAUUUUCCUGCUAUGAAAGAAAUCCUAUGCGCUGCAGUUUUGCAAUAAAACAACCCAGGCUUCGCAAUGGGAGAACUUCGGCGCGGCGUGCCGUGGGAGUCCUUUGACAAUCUCAACUUUCAUCUGGGUCUGAAAUUAAAGCUUCUCGGAAUAAUUUAGGAACAGCUUGACCCGUUGAGAUACUCAACGACAACCCUCCAGGGAAAUAGUAUGUUUCCUUCCUGGGAACAAGAUGCUAGCGCAGUGCACCGGGAGGUAUCCGGUGUCAACAAUGCCAGAGCGCCCUCUGCUGUCUCAGAGAGGCAGGACACCAAUUACAAAAGCCAGAUGGCACAGUGGCAAUAAGCAGAGGAAACAUUAAGCUCUUAGAAACGUUUAAUCUGUGAAAUUUAAAAGCUCUCAUCAUAUUCCACUUUUGAAAGGGCCACCUGAUUUUGAUUUUGAGCACUCCUUGGACGAUAUCUUCUAUUCUGGAGGAUAAUGAAAAGUCAGUGUUUUGAAGUUUUCAGAUCAUUUCUGUUGGUAUAUUUCUCCAUCCUUUCUCGAAUUUUAUAUGGAAAUACGAAAUUGCAAAUUGGAGUGAAAAACCUUUGUGCAAAACAGGUGAGUGGAGAAAACGUCCUGAUUUCUCCAGAUAACUAAGCUCUAAUAAUAAAGACAUGAAGUACAUGUUGUUGCAUUAUUUUAAAAAGAUAAUUAAAAAAGAAUUUGUCUUGAUAUGUGUUUUGUUGUUUUGUUUCAACGAUUAACCCAAAUUUUGCUCAGACUUUAAGUUUUGAAAUAAGAAAGUGAAUUUUUUUUAAAAAAGAAAAAUUUGCUUCACAUUAAUAUGUACACUAUUAUUGCCCUUAAAAUCUUUGCAAUAAAUGUAUAUACACACUCAGCUUGCAAAUACUUCUUUAGAAAAUAACUCACUCUGAGUAGAAAUCAGAUAUGGUACCAGCAUGGGCAAACCCAUAAGAAAGGUUAUUUGCAUUAAAAAGGAGUUUUUCAGUAGGGAAAAUCGAUUACCAAGUGAAAUACAAGUAUUUUUUUUUUAAGGUUCAAACCCUUUUAAAUUUUUAUGUUAUAAGGUUUAUAUAGAUUAAAACAAAUGUACUUUUGUGGUAAUUCAACAUUAUGAAUUUUAAGAUUGCAGCAUAUUUUAAAACACACACUUUUGCCAUGAAGACUGUUGUUUUAUAUAUCAAUGCUGAUGUAAUACAAUGCUUCCAUUAACUAUGUAGUUGUUAAAUAAAUCUUGUAAAAAUAAAGUUCUGUUUAUUUUAUCAUGUCAGAACAAAAUAGUUGUCUAAAUCACUUAUUUUAAUCUUAACUUUUAAAUGAAAAUGCCUAUAAGAAUAUUAAGCUAUAAGAUUGCUGAGAAAACUAAGGUAAAAUUUAAAAUUGUAUGAUUUUGUAAUUUGCUAUAAUUAAAAAAACAUGUAUUGAUUAAAUGUUAAAUCAGGUUAAAUAUUUGACCAACUAUGUCGAGUUCCAUAUAAAUAUAGGUACAUUUGUCUUCUGAAAGGUCUUUCUCCAAAUAAUGCAUUUACAAAUUUAUGGCACAAUAAGUGAAGAAAUAGUAGAACUUUUAUGUUUUUAUUUUAAGCAUACUUUUACAAAUUAAAAAUCUUAUUUUUUCUUAUAGUUAAUUUAAAUUUCUUUCUAAAUAAGUUUAUAUUUUAUCCAGGAGAAAAUAAACAGAGUGGCAUAAUUUUGCUAUAAGUAUUAUAGUUAUCAUAAUCAGUUAAAAAGAACCUCAAGGUAAAUAAAAUAUAUAAUAAAAUAUAAAUUAAAAAUGAAAAAAUGCACUAAAUUCGUGGGUGGAAGACAUGAGCAUGACUUUUUCCUGUUUUAAAAACCAUUCGAUGUAUUCUUUAAAAAAAAGAGAGAGAAAUGACAAAAAAGAAAAAAUAAAAAGAAGAGAAGCAACUAAAAGAGCUUCUCAGAUGUCCAAUAGAUGCUGCCCAAAGUAAAAAGCCUGCUCUAAUAUGUGUUAUUCAAAUUUGCAUGUAAGGGUUUUUACCCUUUCUUUAUUUUAUAUUUGUACAGGGUAACAUAUUGUAACUGAAACACUCUUCCCAUUUUUUUUCAGCUAGGAAAAACCUAUGGAAACAUUCGCUUCCAUAGGAGUAAUAUUUAUCUAAACAGUAUAUUUAGGGAAAGCACUAAUAGAACACAAGCAACUAAUUACUGAUGCUUUUAGGGAGUAACCAUAAUAAUAAUUGUGCACUGUAUUGAUGAAAUUAAUACAGAAUUUAAUAUUUGUGGACCACAAAAAAGCCCUAAUCGUGGACCUCAGAUUUGAAAGAACAGGCUUCAGCACAAUGUGUAUCUUUUUUGUAUUCAGACUCAGUUGAAAUUGCGAUUUCUCUCAGCUGCUGCUAAGUAACUAAUAAAUUGUAGAAAUAUGACUGAGUAGGAAUUGAAAAUAAGGUGCUUUAAGAAGGAAUAAAAUUGUGAUGUCAAUAAAUCAGAAUUGAUUGUCUUUUAGAUAGAAGGUUAGUAGUUACAAACUGCAGGGAAAAUAUUUACACUGAUGAACAAAUCUCAAGGAAAGUAAAAAAGUUCAGAUGUGGAAUGCUACCAAGGCAAAACAAAAUGAAAUGAGAAGAAAUUAAAUAUUUAAGACACAUAUAGAAAGAACGAAGAAGCAGCUUGACUUCAAUUUUGUUUUUAAUAUUCCUGUAGAUUAUGCAGAAAAACAUUAAGGAAUUCUUUGUUGUCAUGUGUCCUAAUUUUGAUCUUGAUGAAUUUAGGACAGGGAAAGGUUGAAAAACAAAUGAGCGAAAUAGUAAUUUACUAUUCCACUCAUGGAUUGGCAAGGCAGAAUUGUUUUUUUCCUUUCCUACUUGCUGAUCAAGUUCUUUUUAAACAUAAAAAAAGGAAAGUAUAUUAAAUAUAAUUUUAUACAUGGUAAAGUUGUCUCCCCUUAGCCUCGGUUUGCUUUCUGUGAUUUUAGUUACCCGCAGUCAUCUUUGGUCUGAAAAUAUUACAUGGAAAAUUCCAGAAAUAGACUAUUUAUAAGUUUCAAAUUUCAUGCUGUUUUGAGAGGCAUAAUAAAAUCUCGCACCGCCCAACUCCAUCGCACCCAGGAUGUGAAUCAUCCUUUGUCCAGCAUCUCCAAGCUAUAUGUAGCUACUACCCCUUAGUCCCUUAGUAGCCAUCUUGAUGAUCAGAUCUACCGUAGAUACAGUAAUAACACACAGUAUCACUUAUGUUCAAGCAACACUUGUUUUGUUUAAAAUGGCCACAAAGAUCAAAAGUAGUGAUGUCGGGAAUUCAGGUAUGCCCAAGAGAAGCCGUAGGUACAUCCUUUAAGAGAAUAGGUGAAAGUUCUCAAAUUAAUAAGGAAAGGAAAAAUAUUGUAUACUGAGGUUGCUAAUAUCUAGAGUAAGAAUAGAUCAUCUAUUUCUGAAAUUAUAAAGAAAAGUAAACUUAUCCUAGUUUCGUUGUCUGUAUUCAAACUGAAAAAGUUACGGUCAUGGUGCAUAAAGGCUUACGUAAAAUGCAAAAGGCACUAAAUUUGCAGUUGGAAGACAAGAACCAAAGCAUGUUCUGAUUCAAUGCUAUCUGCAGUUUCAGGCAUCCACUAGGGUCACAGAAUGCAUCCUCUGCAGAGAAGUGGGGACUGCUGUCUAAAUAAUAGAAUGACUAUAAAAUAGCAUAUGCUGGGUAAUUAUCUUUCUUCUGUUAAUUUGAAGAAAAAACAGGUGAAAAAGAAACUAGGCUUAGGAAAGUAUUUCUUACUGAUUUGAAUGUUCUACCUGGUAGUGACAACGUACUUAACUUAGACAGGAUACUUAACUUGAACUCAGUCACAAUGCUUCUCAGGAAUUCCCAGUACUCAAUGUUACUGUGAAGAGUGGGAGUUCCAGGCUAAAGUGAUAAGGACUAUAUACCUCAGGCAAGGUCAAUUUAAAGGUUACAAAGUUUAGGUUGCUAUGAAAACAUUAAAUAGAGAAAGGUGUUACCUUGCCCAGAGGUAUGUAGCGUCAGUUUUCCAAAUUGAAGAAUUUCUUUUUUCCCUGGACAUGCUUGGCCCAAUUUCACUCUCUCGAUUCCCAGAAUUCGGGUAUAGUAGUUAUGUUUUUUCAUUGUCUUGAUAAUAUCAGAUAAAUAGAAAUUGGCUACAAGAACGCCAAGGAUGCAUUCUUCGAUAUGUGAUUUUUACAACCUGGUAUGUUUAAAGAAAGGGGCUUUGAUUCUAUGAAAGGAUUAUUUUUACCUAGCUUUUCAACUCAGAAAGCACAGAUACUUAAAUGCCCACUAAGCAUCAGGAAGUUGGUUUAGUUGGAUGAGGGAAUGAGGGGUGUGGUAUGUGUAUAUAUAAAUACAUGUAUAUGGAAAGGAAUAUUUAUAUUAGAGAUUAUAGUUAACAUUUAAAACCUGGUUGUAAAAAAAAAUAAAACUAACUGUAGCUGUGGCUUGGACCUAUCUCUUUUGUAGUUAUCUUCCUAUUAUCAGAUAAUUUACUUGGUGAAAUUGCCUGGUACAAGAGGAUUAUUAAUAAAGAAUCAUUAAAAAUGACUA